GCAUAUCAAUAAGCGGAGGAAAAGAAAAUAACAAUGAUUCCCUCAGUAACGGCGAGCGAAGAGGGAUAAGCUCAAAUUUUAAAUCUGUUGGGUUUCACCUAACAGAGUUGUAUUUUGAAGAAACGUUUUCUGCGUCCAGGAUUAGCCUAAAUCCUUUGGGAUAAGGUAUCAUGGAGGGUGAGAAUCCCGUUCAUGGUUAAUCUUAAGGAUGCUCUACGAUACGUUCUCCAAGAGUCGAGUUGUUUGGGAUUGCAGCUCAAAAUGGGAGGUAAAUUUCUCCUAAGGCUAAAUAUUGGCGAGAGACCGAUAGCGAACAAGUACCGUGAGGGAAAGAUGAAAAGAACUUUGAAAAGAGAGUUAAACAGUACGUGAAAUUGUUGAAAGGGAAACGAUUGAAGUCAGUCAUACUAACGGGAAAUCAACCUCUUGAGUUUGGUCUCGUGGGUUUCGAAGAGUUUUAAAAGCCUUCGAAUUUUCAAGAUUGGGCUCUUCUGGUGUACUUUCUCGUACGGUUAGUCAACAUCGGUUUUGAAUGUCAUAAAAUGACUGGAGGAAGGUGGCUUCAAUCUCGUAUUGAAGUGUUAUAGCCUUUGGUAAAUGUGAUGUUUGAAAUCGAGGAUUGCAACGGAUACCCUUCUGGGCUAUUCGUCUGAUCUCUGAAACGUUGCCUUGAUGUCAAAAGCUGGCUUAUGAUGUUAGGGUAUUACGGUCAAAAGGUUAGAACGGAUUAAAUUCGUUAAGGAUGUUGACGUAUUGGCUUUAAACGAC
Molecule: ribosomal RNA, 768 nt
Filed under: uncultured Glomus
Lineage: Eukaryota; Fungi; Glomeromycota; Glomeromycetes; Glomerales; Glomeraceae
Description: eukaryotic LSU rRNA
Rfam family: Eukaryotic large subunit ribosomal RNA
Source: RNAcentral